Molecule: non-coding RNA, 3261 nt
Organism: Oryctolagus cuniculus (rabbit)
Lineage: Eukaryota; Metazoa; Chordata; Mammalia; Lagomorpha; Leporidae
Source: RefSeq, a predicted model, not a curated record
UCUGGUCUCCCCGGGACCUGUUAGCAAAAGACUCAGCCUGGGUUCUGGGCCAAUCGCUUAUUUGCUCAUUUGUCUUUGUCAAUCAAGAGCGGUCUUCAUGAAGAAGGCAAACUCAGACUUCGGAUGCGGGGCGGACUCGAGUCUCGCCGCGGCCUCCCGCGCGCGCCCUGCAGGCGGCGAGCGGCACUGCGGGAAGGCGCGGCUCCCGAGCAGACGGGGCGGGGCCGCGGCUCGUUUGCAUACCCACAGUGCAUUGCACGAGAGCGCGCUUGAAAGGGCAAGAUUUAAAGUUAUUCCAAGAAUAUUCUGUAGAAAUUAGAGCCUAGCAUUAAAAGUGACAUGGACAACUUUAUGUUUUCCCACAAGAGCUUGCCGGCAGGUGGUCAUCCUCGAUGAACUAGGAGUUCCCGGUACCCGAGGAGUGCGUUACGGGGUUGUAGUGCAUACUCUGGUUUCUCUUCAGAUCGUAUAAAUCUUUCGCCUUUUACUAAAGAUUUCCGUGGAGAGGAACAAUUCUGAGUCUUUACUUAAUUUUUUGAGGCCUUGUUUUGGCAAGGCUAUUUUAUGCGGUUGGAAAAAAAGAACUUGUUAUAAUUGUCUGACUAAGCCACCGAGUAGGUGUUAGCAUUACUUGGGUAUUACUAUGUGGUGUGUAACUUACAGCUUUCGAGAACAACAGAGGAUUACCCAACUCCUUGGGCUCCUGCACCCGAGUGAGAGACCUGAAGGAAGCUCCUGGUUUCGGAUCAGUACAGCUCCGAAAGACUUUCGCUCUGCCUUCUCUGUAACUUCUACUUUUCAAAAGUUACAGAGAGAAGAAGAGACAGAUCUUCCAUCUGCUGGUUCACUCCCCAAAUGGUGACAAGAGCUGGAGCUGGGCCAAUCCCAUGCCAGGAGCCAGGAGCCAAAAGUUUCUUUCAGCUGACUGAAUCUGAGGACGUGGAACCUGCGGCUCCCGAGUGCUCCCGAGCGCUGCCCCGAGCCGGUGCUGCGGACCCUAACGCUGUAGGGUCAGAGCGAAUCCUCCCCUGUGGCUGAGCACGUCUGCCUGCUUUUUCUUUUCAGAAACUUCCUGGGUUUUCUUGCCCCUUUGCCUUUUCAAAAAAUGUAGAAUUAGCCAGAAAAGAAAAUGGUUGGAAUUGGGGGGUGGGGAGUUGCAUUAAUAAAAACCCUUACGAUACUGACUCUUUUUUUUUCUUUUUCUUUUUCCUUUAUUUUAUUUUAUUUUUUUGACAGGCAGAGUGGACAGUGAGAGAGAGAGACAGAGAGAAAGGUCUUCCUUUUGCCAGUGGUUCACCCUCCAAUGGCUGCCGCGGCCGGCGCGCUGCAGCCGGCACACCGCGCUGAUCCGAUGGCAGGAGCCAGGUACUUAUCCUGGUCUCCCAUGGGGUGCAGGGCCCAAGCCCUUGGGCCAUCCUCCACUGCACUCCCUGGCCACAGCAGAGAGCUGGCCUGGAAGAGGGGCAACCGGGACAGAAUCCGGCACCCCGACCGGGACUAGAACCUGGUGUGCCGGCGCCACAAGGCGGAGGAUUAGCCUAGUGAGCCGCGGUGCCGGCCAUGAUAUUGACUUUUUUUUUUUUUUUACUUUGAUGUCAGUUAUAGAGAUUUAUUUGUGACAAAAAUGCUUUAAUAAUAGCAGGUUGUCCCCUUGUCUGGUGGAAUUCAGCAUUUUCUCUUUCCAGCACAUUCAGAAUCUCUGUAAUAUGCAUUGUUUCACGCUCAGAUUUAAUAAAAUGAAGAUUUUCUAAAAAGAUAACUGCAGUAGAAAUGAAAAAGACAGAUGUUUGGCCUUGUGGUUAAGGUGCCACUUGGGUUACCUUCAUCUCAUGGUUCCUCCGACUCCAGCUCCCUGCCAAAGCCCGCCCUGGGAGGCAGCAGGUGGUGGCUCAAGCACUUGGGUCCUUGCCACACGUAUGGGAGACCUGGGCUGAGUUCCUGGCUCCUGGCUUGGGCCUGGCUUAGCCUUGGCCAUUGCAGGCAUUUGAGGAGUAAACCAGCAGAUCUCUCUAUGCAUCGCCAACAACAACAACAACAAAAAAUCCACAACUUAAAGAAAUGAGAAAGAAAAUACAGCAGUCAAUGAAAGAAAAUACAGCAGUCAAUGAAUGUUUUUAGACACUGGGAACGAGACCAUUGAGCUUGUCGUGGGCUGUCACAGGGACGGACACCAGCUGGGGAUGGGUUUUGGUGUCACUAGCGAGGGCUGUGCCACCCACAGAGGGGCCCACAUCUGUGCCCCACUGUGACACGCUGUGCAGUCCUGCGGCCCCUUCUCCAGGGCCUCGGUUUCCCCUUCUGAAGAGUUAGGUCCACAGCCUGAAUUCCAUAUAGUUUAAUGCUUAUUUUUCCAGUACCAUCUGCUGAAAAAUAUUCCGCUUAGGGUAAGAAGGAUGACCUUGGCUGGACACACUGAACAUUUGCCUUCUGCCAGGUCUGGGGUGAUCCAGCGUGCAGUGCUGGGGAAAGAACCAGCCGCAAUGAGAGGACCAGGUGCCGACAGAGGGUGGAGGUGGGAGCUGAGUGAGUGCUCUGUGCAGAGGUCGCCCUGGGCUGAGAGGGCGCCAACCAGAGAGGCUGUCCAGAGAGAAAAGACCCCUGAGCAGAGCUACAGAAAAGGCAGGCAGCCACAGCCGGCAGGACACAAAUCGGCCUGCAGCCCCACAGCAUCCUGGGCAGCGCUUGGGGUGCCACAGUCAUCAACCUUUUUGUUAAAAUAAAUAUUAUUAAAUAUAAUAAUGGUUUGCUUCCCAGAUGGCUGAAACAUCUGGAGCUGGGCUGGUCCCAAGCCAUGAGCCUGGAGCUUCUUCCAGUCUCCCACGUUGGGGCAGGGGCCCAAGGAGUUAGGCCAUUUUCUACUGCUUUCCCAGGCAUAGCAGAGAGCUGGAUCGGAAGUGGAGCAGCUGGGACUCGAACCAGCACCCAUAUGGGAUGCCAGCACUGCAUGCAGAGGCUUUACCCGCUACGCCACAGUGCCGGCCUCCAUACAGUCACCAAUUUCAAAAUGUAAGGAGGUAAGGGUCAGCAUGUGUGCAGUCCUAGCUGCUCCACUUCUGAUCCAGCUCCCUGCUACUGUGUCUGGGAAAGCAGCAGGAAAUGGCCCAAGUCCCUGGGCUCCUGCACCCAUGUGGGAGACCUAGAGAAAGCUCCUGGCACCUGGCUUCAGUCUGGUCCAACUCCGGCCAUUGUGGCCAUUUGGGGGGCGAACCAGUGGACGGAAGAUCAAUCUCUCUCUCUCGAAUAGACCUUUUAAAAAUAAAC